Perca fluviatilis (European perch) is the source of this 1780-nucleotide long non-coding RNA. RefSeq lists it as uncharacterized. The transcript has 3 exons. The record is from RefSeq and is a predicted model, not a curated record. NCBI's taxonomy places the organism in Eukaryota, Metazoa, Chordata, Actinopteri, Perciformes, Percidae.
CCACCAUCAACAAACCAAACCAAUAAGACAGCACGGUGUACUUACAGCUCAUAGCAUUACAGAAUGCUGUGUGGACUACUAGCCAGACCCUCCUCUGCUCUGCAGUGUGUGGAGGAUGGUCUGGUAAAGUGAGACUACUGGCUCAGUAACACUGAGUUACUGGGUGCCCUUUUCUAAAUCAUCCCGCGGAAAAGACUUUCUGUUCGAGGUUUAAUUUAUAGAUCUCCUUACCCUCAGGACCUAAAUGGAUCAUGACUGGGACAGUUAUUUAAAGAGGGAUCAGUCAUGUCAUGAAGGAUCUUGUGCAUAUUAUUGCGCUUUUAUUGUGUCAUCGUUUAUUACUGUUUUCUGCUGCUGUAUGAAUUUGCUUAUCAGGUUUUUUGAGAGAUUACAUAAAUAAAUAAAAAAAUGUCAGUAUUUUGAGUUUUUAAUUCUUGAUUAAUCUGUUUUAGUCUCUUAUUACCAAUCCCCCUCUACUGUUUCUUCACCGUGAUAACUUUCUCCUACAAGAACAAACACAUCACAGACAACGUCUCCAAAAUGAUUGGCCUCCCCACCCCUAACCUCUCAGACCUCAACAGAAUGUCAUGAUUGUGGGUUCUGUUAUGUUCUGUUUCCUGUUUUAUUUUGACAUCUGUCUUGUCUCCCUUGUCUUGUCUAGUUUACUUCCUGUCCUUGGUUUUCCCUCCCGUGUGAUUGCCCUAAUGUGUUUCACCUGUUUGCCCAGCCUUGUGUCACCUGUCCCUUAUUGGUCCUCGUUACCUGGUUUAUUUAGUCUCUGUGUUGUCUUUGUCUGGUGUCGGAUCAUUUCGUUCUGUUUGCCCUGUUUCCUGCUGGAUGUUCUUCUCUGUUCUGUUGUGGAUUCUGUUUUGCAUUGGUUCCUGCCUGGCUACCUUCCGGAGGACACUUUGUGUAAGACUUUUGCGUGUAAAUAAAUCACCUCUAACUGCAUUUGGGUCCAAGCCUAGUCUUUCCUGACUACACCUGACACAGAAAAGCCAUCCCACACAGAUCUCACAUCAUAGCACAUAACCCCAGACCCAAACCCUCUCAAACCAUUCUUCACUGCUUCCAUCCGGCCAUAGAGACCGGCCCCUGGCCUGCAAACGGGCACGCUUUGUUAGGAGGUUUGUUCCUUCUGCCAUAGCAGCACUCCCAAAAAUACAUCAAUAACUGCUAUCCUAUCUAUUACAGUAAAACCCCGAAACAUCAUCUUAAAAAUGUCCUGGUGCUAUGAAAGAACACGCUGAAAGGAGGUAGGAUGUGAAAUCCCUCAUUUGGACUAAAUAAAGGAUGUCAUUUCUCAAAAAUGAUUUCAUCUCUAAUGACUGUUGAAGUCGUAUUAAACACCUGAAUGAAUGAGAAGUGUCUAAAACCAAAUGUCAUUGGCAGUUUCCAACAUCCCAAACUACACCGGGCCACAUAUGUGUCCAGCUAGUGUCAGUGUGUUGACAGGUUGGCAGGAGGAAAGUCAAAGCUGAUCUCCCCAAAAGAAGAAAUGAUAUACAUGACUCACAGGAAGUAGCUCUAUAAAUGUUGUACUGCAUCAUGUUGAGAAGCACCAACACAGAGACAGAGGUGUGAAAAGAACAGAACAGAAGAGAGAGAAACAGAACGAUGGAUUAAAAUGUUUCUAUAUCUGAUGCUGGUGCUUCAGUGUACAGGUAAGAAUACAUAAAUACUAACACAUUAUUAACAUAAAUAAUACUAGCAUUUGAUUGAUUCGUGCUGUUUGUUCGCGGGGGACUUCAGUCGUCUCAUGAAAACCAAGUAGGAGGGG